CCUACGUGCGGCAGCAGUAGGGAAUAUUGCUCAAUGGGGGAAACCCUGAAGCAGCAACGCCGCGUGGAGGAAGAAGUUUUUAGGAUUGUAAACUUCUUUUGUUAGAGAAGAUUAUGACGGUAUCUAAUGAAUAAGCACCGGCUAACUCCGUGCUAGCUGCCGCGGUAAUACGGAGGGUGCAAGCGUUACUCGGAAUCACUGGGCGUUAAGAGUGCGUAGGCGGGGUAAUAAGUCAGAGGUGAAAUCCUGUAGCUUAACUACAGAACUGCAUUUGAAACUGUUACUUUGGAGUGUGGGAGAGGUAGGUGGAAUUCUUGGUGUAGGGGUAAAAUCCGUAGAGAUAAGGAGGAAUACUCAUGGCGAAGGCGGCCUGCUGGAACAUUACUGACGCUGAUGCACGAAAGCGUGGGGAGCAAACAGGAGUAGAUACCCGUGUAGUC
RNAcentral lists this ribosomal RNA (440 nucleotides) under uncultured bacterium. Its description in RNAcentral is "partial 16S ribosomal RNA". It matches the Rfam family "Bacterial small subunit ribosomal RNA", at positions 338 to 795 of the family's 1533-position model. The record is from RNAcentral.